GCUUAGGGAAAAAGUGAUUUUUAAGGAAAAAAUAUUUAAGAUAAAAUAUAUUUAGGGGAAAAAUAAUUGUUAGAAAAAAAUGUUUAGAAAAAACUAUUUAAAAAAAAUAUUUUUAAGUAAAAAUAUUUUAAAAAAUAAAAAUUUAUUUAUUAUAUAUAUAAAAUUAAAAUAGGGAUUGGGUCGGGAUCGGGGGAGAGGGGGUUCAUAGACCCGAACCCAAUCGGGUUGGC
This 230-nucleotide long non-coding RNA is filed under the name Elaeis guineensis (African oil palm). RNAcentral's name for it is "long non-coding RNA (EGUI_LNC001599)". The record is from RNAcentral. Lineage: Eukaryota; Viridiplantae; Streptophyta; Magnoliopsida; Arecales; Arecaceae.